RNAcentral lists this small nuclear RNA (100 nucleotides) under Lottia gigantea (owl limpet). Lineage: Eukaryota; Metazoa; Mollusca; Gastropoda; Lottiidae. The record is from RNAcentral.
UAUCUACAAGAUAAAAAAAAAAAAAACUAAAAUUGGAACGAUACAGAGAAGAUUAACAUGGCCCCUGCGCAAAAGGUGGGGCAUAAAGUUCUCCGUGUUG